AACCCGUAAGGCGCAAGGA
RNAcentral lists this small nuclear RNA (19 nucleotides) under Arabidopsis thaliana (thale cress). RNAcentral's name for it is "snRNA_10849". Lineage: Eukaryota; Viridiplantae; Streptophyta; Magnoliopsida; Brassicales; Brassicaceae. The record is from RNAcentral.